UUGGUCCCUUUCAACCAGCUU
This 21-nucleotide microRNA is filed under the name Eptatretus burgeri (inshore hagfish). RNAcentral describes it as "Ebu-Mir-133-P8-v2_3p (mature (guide))". Lineage: Eukaryota; Metazoa; Chordata; Myxini; Myxiniformes; Myxinidae. The record is from RNAcentral.